GACGAACGCUGGCGGCGUGCUUAACACAUGCAAGUCGAACGGAAAGGCCCUGCUUUUGUGGGGUGCUCGAGUGGCGAACGGGUGAGUAACACGUGAGUAACCUGCCCUUGACUUUGGGAUAACUUCAGGAAACUGGGGCUAAUACCGGAUAGGAGCUCCUGCUGCAUGGUGGGGGUUGGAAAGUUUCGGCGGUUGGGGAUGGACUCGCGGCUUAUCAGCUUGUUGGUGGGGUAGUGGCUUACCAAGGCUUUGACGGGUAGCCGGCCUGAGAGGGUGACCGGCCACAUUGGGACUGAGAUACGGCCCAGACUCCUACGGGAGGCAGCAGUGGGGAAUAUUGCACAAUGGGCGGAAGCCUGAUGCAGCAACGCCGCGUGCGGGAUGACGGCCUUCGGGUUGUAAACCGCUUUCGCCUGUGACGAAGCGUGAGUGACGGUAAUGGGUAAAGAAGCACCGGCUAACUACGUGCCAGCAGCCGCGGUGAUACGUAGGGUGCGAGCGUUGUCCGGAUUUAUUGGGCGUAAAGGGCUCGUAGGUGGUUGAUCGCGUCGGAAGUGUAAUCUUGGGGCUUAACCCUGAGCGUGCCUUCGAUACGGGUUGACUUGAGGAAGGUAGGGGAGAAUGGAAUUCCUGGUGGAGCGGUGGAAUGCGCAGAUAUCAGGAGGAACACCAGUGGCGAAGGCGGUUCUCUGGGCCUUUCCUGACGCUGAGGAGCGAAAGCGUGGGGAGCGAACAGGCUUAGAUACCCUGGUAGUCCACGCUGUAAACGGUGGGUACUAGGUGUGGGGUCCAUUCCACGGGUUCCGUGCCGUAGCUAACGCUUUAAGUACCCCGCCUGGGGAGUACGGCCGCAAGGCUAAAACUCAAAGGAAUUGACGGGGCCCCGCACAAGCGGCGGAGCAUGCGGAUUAAUUCGAUGCAACGCGUAGAACCUUACCUGGGUUUGACAUGGAUCGGGAGUGCUCAGAGAUGGGUGUGCCUCUUUUGGGGUCGGUUCACAGGUGGUGCAUGGCUGUCGUCAGCUCGUGUCGUGAGAUGUUGGGUUAAGUCCCGCAACGAGCGCAACCCUUGUUCACUGUUGCCAGCACGUUAUGGUGGGGACUCAGUGGAGACCGCCGGGGUCAACUCGGAGGAAGGUGGGGAUGACGUCAAGUCAUCAUGCCCCUUAUGUCCAGGGCUUCACGCAUGCUACAAUGGCUGGUACAGAGAGUGGCGAGCCUGUGAGGGUGAGCGAAUCUCGGAAAGCCGGUCUCAGUUCGGAUUGGGGUCUGCAACUCGACCUCAUGAAGUCGGAGUCGCUAGUAACCGCAGAUCAGCAACGCUGCGGUGAAUACGUUCCCGGG
This 1343-nucleotide ribosomal RNA is filed under the name uncultured bacterium. RNAcentral's name for it is "16S ribosomal RNA". It matches the Rfam family "Bacterial small subunit ribosomal RNA", at positions 28 to 1378 of the family's 1533-position model. The record is from RNAcentral.